UGCAAGUCGAACGGCAGCACGAGAGAGCUUGCUCUCUUGGUGGCGAGUGGCGGACGGGUGAGGAAUACAUCGGAAUCUACCUUUUGGUGGGGGAUAACGUAGGGAAACUUACGCUAAUACCGCAUACGCCCUUCGGGGGAAAGCCGGGGACCUUCGGGCCUGGCGCUGAUAGAUGAGCCGAUGUCGGAUUAGCUAGUUGGUGAGGUAAUGGCUCACCAAGGCGACGAUCCGUAGCUGGUCUGAGAGGAUGAUCAGCCACACUGGAACUGAGACACGGUCCAGACUCCUACGGGAGGCAGCAGUGGGGAAUAUUGGACAAUGGGCGCAAGCCUGAUCCAGCCAUACCGCGUGGGUGAAGAAGGCCUUCGGGUUGUAAAGCCCUUUUGUUGGGAAAGAAAAGCGAUCGGUUAAUACCCGGUUGUUCUGACGGUACCCAAAGAAUAAGCACCGGCUAACUUCGUGCCAGCAGCCGCGGUAAUACGAAGGGUGCAAGCGUUACUCGGAAUUACUGGGCGUAAAGCGUGCGUAGGUGGUGGUUUAAGUCCGUUGUGAAAGCCCUGGGCUCAACCUGGGAAUUGCAGUGGAUACUGGGUCACUAGAGUGUGGUAGAGGAUAGUGGAAUUUCCGGUGUAGCAGUGAAAUGCGUAGAGAUC
Molecule: ribosomal RNA, 653 nt
Filed under: Pseudoxanthomonas sp. M67T1b
Lineage: Bacteria; Pseudomonadati; Pseudomonadota; Gammaproteobacteria; Lysobacterales; Lysobacteraceae
Description: bacterial SSU rRNA
Rfam family: Bacterial small subunit ribosomal RNA
Source: RNAcentral